CCCGGAACCAGGCGCCCGCCGGAGGGACCAACCAAACUCUUUUCUGUAGCCUUCGGGCGUUAUUUCUUACAGCUCUGAGCAAAAAUUCAAAAUGAAUCAAAACUUUCAACAACGGAUCUCUUGGUUCUGGCAUCGAUGAAGAACGCAGCGAAAUGCGAUAAGUAAUGUGAAUUGCAGAAUUCAGUGAAUCAUCGAAUCUUUGAACGCACAUUGCGCCCGCCAGUAUUCUGGCGGGCAUGCCUGUCCGAGCGUCAUUUCAACCCUCGAACCCCCUAGGGGGUCCGGCGUUGGGGAUCGGGAACCCCUAAGACGGGAUCCCGGCCCCGAAAUACAGUGGCGGUCUCGCCGCAGCCUCUCCUGCGCAGUAGUUUGCACAACUCGCACCGGGAGCGCGGCGCGUCCACGUCCGUAAAACACCCAACUUCUGAAAUGUUGACCUCGGAUCAGGUAGGAAUACCCGCUGAACUUAA
This 470-nucleotide ribosomal RNA is filed under the name Trichoderma sp. AQGS 6. RNAcentral describes it as "eukaryotic LSU rRNA". The stretch from base 101 to 254 matches the Rfam family "5.8S ribosomal RNA". The record is from RNAcentral. Lineage: Eukaryota; Fungi; Ascomycota; Sordariomycetes; Hypocreales; Hypocreaceae.